Hemibagrus wyckioides is the source of this 794-nucleotide long non-coding RNA. RefSeq lists it as uncharacterized. The record is from RefSeq and is a predicted model, not a curated record. NCBI's taxonomy places the organism in Eukaryota, Metazoa, Chordata, Actinopteri, Siluriformes, Bagridae. The transcript is spliced from 3 exons.
CAAAAGAUUGAUCUUUGUGCCAUCAAAUAAGCUGUAAACUUCCAAACUCUCUCUGUCUCUCUCUCUGUCUCUCUCUCUCUUUCUCUGUCUCUGUCUUUCCAGGUUUUAUGAACCAUCCUCCGUAGGCAUCAAAAAAUCAGCCACUUAUUAGGCAAGACCUUGGUAACUGCUUUGCUCUUCCAAACACUUUUUGUUCAAUCGUUUCUCAUUACGCUGCUACCAGGGAGCGUUUAAGGCACUUGCCAUGACUUCAAAUCCUCAUCCUCGGAAUCGCUGCCAUGGAGCCAGGGACAAGGCCGUAACCUUCAACUCUGUAUACAACCUUCAUGUUGCUUGCGAUAUAAUGGAUCUGCCAAACGUCAGGAUUUCAAUCCUCAUAAUAUCCAACAUCUGAAAGACCUGUACCAUCAAGAACAUCCUGACAGGAGGCAUCACAGCCUGGUUCCUGGAGCUCUCUGACCUGCAGUUGAUCUAUAACUGAUUCCUGGACCAAGGCCAGGAAGAGAGCGAAGACCUCAGCUAGCCAAAUCGCUGGCAGGGAAGCAGUUCCUCUUACUGAGGAUUAGGAGAUGCUUCUUCCCACAGGCCAUUCAGAUCAUCAACCAGCACAUAAGACUAAAGCUUGGAUUUUUCCGGAAUAUUCUGCAUAACAUCCACUACCACAAACUGAUUCUCUCAGAAUAUACAAUCAAAUUGUUUCACCCACUGAUCUCUAUUCAAAUAUUUUUCUCUUUCAGGUAAAUUCUAUCUUUAAUGUAAAUGCUAUUCUUCUUCUUCUUCUUCUUCUUCUUCUU